GGUCUGAGAGGACGACCAGCCACACUGGAACUGAGACACGGUCCAGACUCCUACGGGAGGCAGCAGUGGGGAAUUUUGGACAAUGGGCGAAAGCCUGAUCCAGCAAUGCCGCGUGAGUGAAGAAGGCCUUCGGGUUGUAAAGCUCUUUUGUCAGGGAAGAAACGGUGAGAGCUAAUAUCUCUUGCUAAUGACGGUACCUGAAGAAUAAGCACCGGCUAACUACGUGCCAGCAGCCGCGGUAAUACGUAGGGUGCAAGCGUUAAUCGGAAUUACUGGGCGUAAAGCGUGCGCAGGCGGUUUUGUAAGUCUGAUGUGAAAUCCCCGGGCUCAACCUGGGAAUUGCAUUGGAGACUG
RNAcentral lists this ribosomal RNA (354 nucleotides) under bacterium LimB-1-A-243. Its description in RNAcentral is "bacterial SSU rRNA". It matches the Rfam family "Bacterial small subunit ribosomal RNA", at positions 289 to 635 of the family's 1533-position model. The record is from RNAcentral.